UGUUUCUUUGUGUUUGUAGAGGCUCAACCUUUAUCUAGUACUUUCUGUAAAAAUUGACAUUAUCUUGACAUCCGUUAACUGACAAAGGAACCAAAUGAAUAUUGUUUUACCUUAAUAUCACUAGCAUGAAGUCCGGUCCAUGAAGUAUCAAGUAUUUUUCCGUAUCAGUAUUUAAGUUACUCAGAGCUUUCUCUUGCCUUGGUUAAAAUACUGGUUAACAAAUUAACCAGAUUGUCAUUUGUCUUGUUUUAAACCAUGACUCAAGUUGCUGCUGAAGGUAACAAUAGGCAGAAAAUAUGUCGAGUUUGUUCAGACAAAGCAAUGGGAUUCAACUUUAAUGCCAUAACCUGUGAAUCAUGCAAAGCCUUUUUCCGACGUAAUGCUUUUAAGGGUGAGAAACUUCGGUGUCCCUUCAAUAAUGAUUGUAUUAUUGAUAAAUCAACUAGACGUUUUUGUCAAAAGUGUCGCUUGGAGAAAUGUUUACAGGUUGGAAUGAAAAGAGAAUGGAUUUUAUCCGAGGAACAAAAGAAAAUCAAACGAGCCAAGAUAGCGGAAAACCGUAUGAAGCGGACUGAUAACCCUUCGGAUGGUCAAAAAGAGGAUAGAUCCAAAAGUUUGAGUAGUAGUAAAAAGGAUUAUUCAGGUCGGGAUCCAGCUACACCUUCAUCAAAUUUUUCGUGUUCAUCUUCAUCUUCUUCUCAUUUUGGUGAUGACAAUGGUGCAUCUCAAUGUUUAUACAAUUUUUCUGGUAAUUUGGCUACCUCACCUUUUCGCGAUUCAUCAAGAAAAGAAUCAAGUGUUCAUCACUCUGCUGCACUCGAUCCUUUACCCAUUAGCAAUGAUCAAUCCAAAUUGAUAACAAACAAAACUCCGGUUGAUAGUGUUGAAAACCUUGAAGCAAGAGCCGAUAAAUUUGCAAGAUCUACUGCUUCAGCACCUCAUUUACUCGAUAGUGACCUUCUUCAUAACAGUUGGAUAUCAUUGAUAACAGAUCCCUCAGCUAAUCCAGUUCCAACUACAAGUAAACCAAGUUUAACAACAAACCUGUUAGGUAAUCACUAUAAUGGUCUUAUUAAUUAUCAUGUGAAUGUAGGUGAUUCCUCUGAUACAGGUAGACCAGCAACUAUACCAUUAAUGCCAAAUUUAAGGUUCCAUACUCAACCAGGAUCUCGAUUGGAACCAGUGACAGACAAUAGACGAGAUUUUGAUGAAAGAGAAGAAUCUUGGAAGAUCAAAGUUAACCAUCGUAUAUUAGAGGCCAAUUUUGUACCAAUUUACUUGCGAAAUGAUAAGAAGGAUUUAAACACUCUCAAUGAAAUGGAGAUUGACAAGCUAAACGAGUUAGUUCAAGCAUUUUCAGCAAUUGAUGAACCCAUUUUGGAUCAAUCGUGCGCUGAAGAUUCGGGAAUAUCUGAUGUUAUCAGAUUUUCUGACCUCGCUAUUAGAAGGUUAAUCAAAUGGUGUAAAAAGAUUCAAGCUUUUGCAAGCUUGUGCCUUGAAGAUCAAAUGGCGCUUCUCAAAGCAGGAUGUCUCGAAAUGCUUUCAAUGAAAGCUUCAUUUAAUUUUAAUCUUGACGAUGAAAGUUGGCAGGAUGCCUACACAAAAAAUGGUUUAAAGUUGACCAUAUUUCGCCAAGCAAGCGAAAAGCUUUAUGAAGCUCACCGUCAAUUCAUCAGAACUUUCAAUCAACGCUGGAGAACUGACCAUAAAGUAAAUCUACUCCUUGUUGCAAUUGUUUUAUUCAAUCCAGAUCGACCUAAUUUGCUUCACCCAGCAACAGUCAGAUUAGAGCAUUAUACUUAUAUUUACCUGUUACGUCGUUACCUGGAAACUAAGAGUGAUUCUCUGUGCCAAGCUCGAACCGAUCAUUAUAAUUUAAUGAUGAAAAUUGAGGACCUUCGAGAGCUUCAUGAUAAAACUGUACGACUCUAUUCGGAUGCAGGACCAGAAGUGGUUGGACCAUUAUUAAUUGAAAUACUUGAUCUAAAAUGAAUCCUAAAUUGUUGAUAAUAGAGUGUAUUUAUCAAUGGAAUCAUAUUGUUAAUAUAAUUAUACAAUGUAAAGAAAAUUAGAACAUUUUUAUAUCAAAAAUUGUCAAUAUUAUCAAGAUUUUUGACCAAAAAAAUUGUUUAGAAGCAACUUUCGACUGGAUCCAAUCACGGUAGAAGUAAACAUCAGUGGAACCUUCCCUGUCACCUUCAAGAUAUUCAUCGCCAAAUGAAAUUAUUCCAACCAAUUCAUCUUGACUCGGAGUUUUACCCUGCACAAUAACUGGUCCACCAGAAUCACCAAUGUAUACAAGAUCUUCAUCCGUUCUUUGGGAAUUUAGGUGAUCGGCCACUUUCCGUCAACCCAUAACCAGCUAACACCACAGAGGUUCCAAUUGGAUAGUGUUUUGAAGCUAAAUUGGCAAUUCCAUUCUUGGCCGACGAUGAAGAGGAUAAAGGCGACUGGGUUAAAUCCAGUUUGAUGAGUGCAAUAUCAUUAAUUGGGAUUCCUUCAUCAUUAACAGUGUAAUUUUCAUGGACAAUUAAUUUGGUUCCAUUAUUGACUUGCCAUUCAAAUGGUUUUCUUGACAAAAACAGACCUCUCUUUGAUUUUGAUUGGACCAUAACCAUCUUAGCGGGUUGACCAUUAUCCCUAUUCAAUGGAAACAAAUGUAUUUACUUAAUUUAAUUACGGACAUGUUUGGGUUUACUUUUCAACUUGAAGUAUUGGCCAUAAAGUGUAUUAUAAAUGUUAAACUUACCACACACAAUGAGCUGCUGUGAUUACGAUUGAAUCCUUAAUCAAGGUUCCACCACAGGUUGGAAAAAAAUCACCCAAUUGUGUAAUAACCUGGACAUAAUAAGGAAACUCUCCAGGUUCAGCAAAUUUACCUCCAAUGAUUCUUGGACCAAGUUCUUGUUGAAAAUUUGAUUCCUGGCUUGAUUUUGAUAUUAACCUACCAUUAACGCCAACAUAAUUCACAAUGGUUAACAAACAAAGUAUUGCUGUUAUCAAAUAGGAGUCCAUUGAACAUUCACUUCUUAAACUCUGUAAAGCAUGUAAAAAGCUCCACAGGUUAAGUUGAUUAUUUAUUGACAAUCAAAGCUUUAUAAGGUACCGGUAAUUUGCUAUUACCGAGGUCAACACAAUUUACCUUCAUAUUGAUCAAAGAGCGAUUCAGUUUUAACAAGCGAUCAUGGAAAUAUUGCAAUAUUUCUUACAGUUGUAAUCUUUUUACAAUGAAGUCAAAAUAAACGGUAAAUAGCAAGAGAUUCACAUUGAA
RNA transcript from Tetranychus urticae (two-spotted spider mite), 3271 nucleotides. It is a transcript of the gene named nuclear hormone receptor HR96, with no coding region annotated. The record is from RefSeq and is a predicted model, not a curated record. NCBI's taxonomy places the organism in Eukaryota, Metazoa, Arthropoda, Arachnida, Trombidiformes, Tetranychidae.